RNAcentral lists this ribosomal RNA (493 nucleotides) under uncultured eukaryote. Its description in RNAcentral is "bacterial SSU rRNA". It matches the Rfam family "Eukaryotic small subunit ribosomal RNA", at positions 4 to 495 of the family's 1831-position model. The record is from RNAcentral.
CUGGUUGAUCCUGCCAGUAGUCAUAUGCUUGUCUCAAGACUAAGCCAUGCAUGUCUCAGUAUAAGGCAUCUCACGUCGAAGCUGGCAAUGGCUCAUUAAAACAGUUAUAGUAUACCUGCUGGUCGCAUUGUUAUACGGCAUACCUGUUAGCAAUUCUAGAGCUAAUACGUGCGUAAAGACCCGACCCUUCUUGGAAGGGUUAUAUUUGUUAGAUCCAGAACCAGCUCUCUUGAGAGAUUUCGGAUGAUUCAUAAUAAACGAACGGAGCGUAGGGCUUGAGCCGACGCUGUAGCAGUGAAGUUUCUGACCUAUCAAGCUAUCGACGGUAGGGUAUUGGCCUACCGUGGCAUUGACGGGUAACGGGGAAUUAGGGUUCGAUCCGGAGAGGGAGCCCGAGAAACGGCUACCACAUCUAAAGGAAGGCAGCAGGCGCGCAAAUUACCCAAUCCUGACUCAGGGAGGUAGUGACAAGAAAUAACAAAGACGGCCCUCU